RNAcentral lists this ribosomal RNA (468 nucleotides) under uncultured bacterium. RNAcentral's name for it is "partial 16S ribosomal RNA". It matches the Rfam family "Bacterial small subunit ribosomal RNA", at positions 28 to 507 of the family's 1533-position model. The record is from RNAcentral.
GACGAACGCUGGCGGCGGGCUUAACACAUGCAAGUCGAACGGUAAGGCCCUGCUGUUGUGGGGUGCUCUAGUGGCGAACGGGUGAGUAACACGUGAGUAACCUGCCCUUGACUUUGGGAUAACUUCAGGAAACUGGGGCUAAUACCGGAUAGGAGCUCCUGCUGCAUGGUGGGGGUUGGAAAGUUUCGGCGGGUGGGGAUGGACUCGCGGCUUAUCAGCGUGUUGGUGGGGUAGUGGCUUACCAAGGCUUUGACGGAUAGCCGGCCUGAGAGGGUGACCGGCCACAUUGGGACUGAGAUACGGCCCAGACUCCUACGGGAGGCAGCAGUGGGGAAUAUUGCACAAUGGGCGGAAGCGUGAUGCAGCAACGCCGCGUGCGGGAUGACGGCCUUCGGGUUGUAAACCGCUUUCGCCUGUGACGAAGCGUGAGUGACGGUAAUGGGUAAAGAAGCACCGGCUAACUACGUG